GUCGUGUGUUCGAGUCGUUUAGUUUAUUGUAGUUCGCGAUCAAAAUGUUGAAUCUUGAAAAUGUCGAACAAACAGCAAGGUUUAUCAAUAAAAGAAAAAAAAAAAAGGGCUGAUACUAGGGACGAGUGUGGCUACUGAUGUAAGUGGGUAGUUUGGAAAGUAGAAUAAAUAAAGUUAUUUAUUAUACCUUGAAUCAACAAAAAACC
Non-coding RNA from Cinara cedri, 206 nucleotides. Lineage: Eukaryota; Metazoa; Arthropoda; Insecta; Hemiptera; Aphididae. The record is from the annotation of a GenBank genome assembly.